This is a long non-coding RNA of Diabrotica virgifera virgifera (western corn rootworm), 273 nucleotides long. RefSeq lists it as uncharacterized. The transcript has 3 exons. The record is from RefSeq and is a predicted model, not a curated record. Lineage: Eukaryota; Metazoa; Arthropoda; Insecta; Coleoptera; Chrysomelidae.
CCAUUUUGUUGUGAGAAUUUGCAAUUUCCCGGCCCGGCAUAAAUAGAUAAUUUGGCGGUUUGUACAUGGUUUGUACUGAAUACUACUGAACUGAACAUAUUUUCAUUACUGGAUAGUGCCGGAAUUGCUGAAAUUGAAUAUCGGAUUGGGAGUAUAGACAGACUCGACAAAGACAUCAACUUUUGAAAAGGAUAAUUACGAAGUACAGCAAAAUUGAAGAUAACAUUAAUGUCAUUAGGAACUUGGAAUUACAGAGAAGUGAUAUAGACUAAA